This 748-nucleotide ribosomal RNA is filed under the name uncultured bacterium. Its description in RNAcentral is "bacterial SSU rRNA". It matches the Rfam family "Bacterial small subunit ribosomal RNA", at positions 60 to 803 of the family's 1533-position model. The record is from RNAcentral.
AGUCAGCGGCAGCGCGGGGGCAACCCUGGCGGCGAGCGGCGAACGGGUGAGUAACAUAUCGGAACGUACCCUGACGUGGGGGAUAACACAUCGAAAGAUGUGCUAAUACCGCAUACGACCUGAGGGUGAAAGCGGGGGACCGAAAGGCCUCGCGCGACAGGAGCGGCCGAUAUCGGAUUAGCUAGUUGGUGGGGUAAAGGCUCACCAAGGCGACGAUCCGUAGCUGGUCUGAGAGGAUGAUCAGCCACACUGGAACUGAGACACGGUCCAGACUCCUACGGGAGGCAGCAGUGGGGAAUUUUGGACAAUGGGGGCAACCCUGAUCCAGCCAUUCCGCGUGAGUGAAGAAGGCCUUCGGGUUGUAAAGCUCUUUCGGCAGGAACGAAACGGCGGGCUCUAACAUAGUCUGUCAAUGACGGUACCUGAAGAAGAAGCACCGGCUAACUACGUGCCAGCAGCCGCGGUAAUACGUAGGGUGCGAGCGUUAAUCGGAAUUACUGGGCGUAAAGCGUGCGCAGGCGGUUUCGUAAGACAGAUGUGAAAUCCCCGGGCUUAACCUGGGAACUGCGUUUGUGACUGCGAGACUUGAGUGUGGCAGAGGGGGGUGGAAUUCCACGUGUAGCAGUGAAAUGCGUAGAGAUGUGGAGGAACACCGAUGGCGAAGGCAGCCCCCUGGGUUAACACUGACGCUCAUGCACGAAAGCGUGGGGAGCAAACAGGAUUAGAUACCCCCGGUAGUCCACGCCCU